This is a non-coding RNA of Sycon ciliatum, 72 nucleotides long. NCBI's taxonomy places the organism in Eukaryota, Metazoa, Porifera, Calcarea, Leucosolenida, Sycettidae. The record is from the annotation of a RefSeq genome assembly.
GCACCACUGGUGUAGCGGUUAGCAUUCCAGAUUCCCAAUCUAGAGAGCCGGGUUCGACUCCCGGGUGGUGCA